Molecule: small RNA, 1852 nt
Filed under: Pan troglodytes (chimpanzee)
Lineage: Eukaryota; Metazoa; Chordata; Mammalia; Primates; Hominidae
Description: processed transcript
Source: RNAcentral
GAACAUAUCUGUAAGGCAGAUGAUACUAUUUCUACAGUCUUUGUUAAGCUUGUGAAUUCAGUAUCACAGAUGAGGAUGCUAAAGGUCAUGAAGGUUAGAGGGUAAGUGACUUGCUCAGGGUCAUGUGGCAUGCGUGUGACAGAGUCAGGGUACAGCACAUGUGUUGAACACUUUCCAUUAUCCCAGGAUUCUUGGCUAACCUCCCUGGAGAGCCUCAGGAAACAUCAUGAUAAGAUAGUCAUUUUGCUAAGAGCAUUUUUGAUUAGUGUCAUUUCUGCCCAGCUUGUCUCCUUCAUAAGAUUGAAUCAAGAGCUACUUUGUUUUAAACAUGAUCUAUGGGAUAUGAAGGACUGUGAAUAACAAAGUAUUGGUGUAUUCAUAAGAUAAUAAAGAGAAGCCCAGUACCAGAGGGCCCUUGUGGCGUAACAGAAACAGCACAGACUCUGGAGUAAGGCAGAACUGGGUAUGAACACCCCCUUUGCCAUUUUCUAGCUUUUGGCUUCUAGGUGAGUUAUUUCAUCUUUCUUGAGCCCCAUUAUAUGUAUUGGUGAGGAAGCUCCCUGCUGGGUGCCAUUUGAGAGUUAGAGAUAAGACAUGUAUUACAGUCUCUGUCCCACUGUGUGCAUGUAGUAAAUAUUGGGUAGGUGAAUGAAUGAGUGAAUGGUAGCAAUUAUUACACUUACUUCUAUUGUUAAAAUGUAUUUGACUCACUAAAACAUAAAUCUGAACCCUGUCAGAAAUUCAUGAAAAUCCUUAUCUCACUUUUCCCUUGCUCUCUGUGAGGUAAAGUAUUAAAAUCUCAUGCUUAAAUUUUCUCUAGGCAUUUGGAGUAUUAGAAAAACUUUCCAGUUAUCUUCCCUAUGUCAAAUUUCAGGACUCGGGACUUAUUGUUAAAUCCUACAUAGGAUGCUAAAAAGAUAUUUCAAAGAAGUACAUAUGCCCCAUUUACCAACUUUCAAGCACCUUUAUUUUAUUUUUGCAGACUUCGAAGCUCAAAGCUUUUCCUUUUCCUUAGACCCCAGGUUAAUGUAUAAAUGUUCCCUUAUUUCUACUUUCUCAUCUACCAUCUACUUUAUUGCAAAAAAAUAGUUCUGUUUUGUUCACCAGAAGGCUGAAAAGGAAGACUCUUGUGAACUGUUUCUGUGGUUUCUGAAUAAAGUAGAGAACUUGGAUUAACUAAGCCCUUUCCCUGUGCUAUAAGCUUUAACCGACCUUAUCUCAGUCAAUCAGCCCAACAGCUUGUGAAGCAGGGGAUGAGUUUCAUAGAGAGAAACUGGGGCUUACAGAAUUCAGUGUCUUAGUCCAGUGUCCAGCCUGGAAGUGGAGAGGCUGGGAGGGGUCCCAGUUCUGCACUCUGGAGCCUGAGUCUUUCACUCUUGUGGGCAGCGCAAGAAUCAUGCAGUGUCAAAUGGUGCACCUCUCUCUCCUCUCCCUGUCUCUGUCUGUCUGUCUCUUUCUCUUCCUUUUUAGAAAGAGCUUAAUUCCCGAGAUGGAGCUUGGGAAAGAAUAUGUGGCGAGAGGGACCCUUUCAUCCUAUGCAGCUUGAUGUGGUCUUGGGUGGAGCAACUGAAGGAGCCUGUAAUCACCAAAGAGGAUGUGGACAUGUUGGUUGACAGGCGAGCAGAUGCCACAGAAGCACUUUUUUUAUUAGAGAAGGGACAGCACCAGACUAUUCUCUGCGUGUUGCACUGCGUAGUGAACCUGCAGACAAUUCCCGUGGAUGUGGAGGAAGCUUUCCUUGCCCAUGCCAUUAAGGCAUUCACUAAGGUUAAUUUUGAUUCUGAAAAUGGACCAACAGUUUACAACACCCUGAAGAAAAUAUUUAAGCACACGCUGGAAGAAAAAAGAAAAA